UGAUCCGGCGGCUACUAGAGAUAGGUGGUUCCCUUCGGGGACGCAGAGACAGGUGGUGCAUGGCUGUCGUCAGCUCGUGUCGUGAGAUGUUGGGUUAAGUCCCGCAACGAGCGCAACCCUUGUCUUUAGUUGCCAUCAUUAAGUUGGGCACUCUAAAGAGACUGCCGGUGACAAACCGGAGGAAGGUGGGGAUGACGUCAAGUCAUCAUGCCCCUUAUGACCUGGGCUACACACGUGCUACAAUGGGCAGUACAACGAGAAGCGAACCCGCGAGGGUAAGCGGAUCUCUUAAAGCUGUUCUCAGUUCGGACUGCAGGCUGCAACUCGCCUGCACGAAGCUGGAAUCGCUAGUAAUCGCGGAUCAGCACGCCGCGGUGAAUACGUUCCCGGGUCUUGUACACACCG
This 405-nucleotide ribosomal RNA is filed under the name Lactobacillus delbrueckii subsp. bulgaricus. Its description in RNAcentral is "bacterial SSU rRNA". It matches the Rfam family "Bacterial small subunit ribosomal RNA", at positions 984 to 1392 of the family's 1533-position model. Lineage: Bacteria; Bacillati; Bacillota; Bacilli; Lactobacillales; Lactobacillaceae. The record is from RNAcentral.